RNAcentral lists this long non-coding RNA (1133 nucleotides) under Cairina moschata (Muscovy duck). Its description in RNAcentral is "domestica (muscovy Duck (domestic type)) lncRNA (ENSCMMG00000001915.1)". Lineage: Eukaryota; Metazoa; Chordata; Aves; Anseriformes; Anatidae. The record is from RNAcentral.
AGGUAUUUGAGGGAGUAUUUCCUUUUUUUAGAACAUAAGCAAGACUACUUAUAUUACUUAUGUAAUACACCAGUACCAGUGGUACUGUCAAAAAUCUGUUGAAAACAUGUCUCAUCUUACUGUGUUUAGUUUAUUCAUAAGACAAGCAGCUAGCUUGUGGUCUCCAAAUAUUCACAUGAGAAGACCUUUUUGAUGACAGACCACUCUAAUCCAGCAAAACAAAUUCACUGCAAGAUUCCAAGGGUAGAAAUAGACCCUGGAUAAACAAGAAUUAUGGAAAAGAAUUGCAUACUUUUAACAGCUGCUUAUAUAGCUUAGCUAGUGGUUGCCCAAUUCUUAGUAUAUAAAUGAAAAUGGAUUUUUUUGAAAGUAGGAGAUAAAGAUUAAGUAGACACUGUGCUUACAAAUAAGUUAACAACUGCAAAUUUUUGCCCAGUGCAUUGUGAUCAGCAGGUUUCCCUGGGCACUGAAUACCUGAAUCUAGCUAGGGACAAGUCUGCUCCACGUGAAUGUUGAGUCUUCUUGUGGCAUGCUGGCUACACUCCAUAUUGUUGAGGAAAUGUUGCUAUAUAAUCCACCACCAUCCAAAGGGAUGAGACUGCUGCAGAGGCAUUUCACUGAACAGGUACUCACAGUCAUCGUAUUGUCAUUUUGCUGCUAUAAAGAUGACAAAAGACCUGGUUAAUUGACCCCUGGAAAAUAGAUAUAUUAAUAGUGGCAACUCUUCUUUCCUGCACUGCAUAGAAAAGAGAACUGAGCUUCAUCCAAAUAUAAAGAAACUUGGCAAAGCUGGAUUUCCUAAUAGCCCAGAGACAAAAGUAGGAAGAGUUUUGAAAGAAAAAUGUGUUGCUGCAGGACUGUCAGUUCACCACAUGAAAAACAUUCAAACAUUUCUUUGAAUAAAAAGGAAAUUUAAAACCAAAGACCAGGUGGUCUUUCUCUGAUUGUUUUGGAAGCAAUAUCUCAGACUGCAUUAUGACCAAAAUUAAUGAUGCAUAACUGUACUGUUUUCCUUUCCCCAAUACAAACAUUAAUAGAAAAUUGUUAACAAGUUCUUCAAUAAAGUACCUUACUUUCUUCAACAUAGCAAAAAGUCAGAGAGAAACAAUAGGUGUCACUAAUCCAUCAUUGUC